UUCAACUAACAAUAAGAGAACUGAUGCUUAGUGUACUUAUUCUAUAUUUACUAAAUGUUGAUUUAUGUUCUACGCUAGAUACUGUGAAAGAUGUAAAAAGCCAAUAGGCAAAGUUUUUGCCUUCAGAAAGAGUGUCCUCUCUUUGAGGGAGGAAAAAAUGCACAAUAUGAAUAAUCAGAAUAAAUAGCAACGAAAGGAACUAUAAAACAAAUUAUACUGAGUUCCUUAUGGUAGAAAAUAUAGAUAAUCACAUACCAAAAUGAUUUUCAUAGGUAUAGUAGUCUUCUAUAAUAGUACAGUAGCCAGCAGAAGUGGUGUAGAGAGCAUUCAGAUUUUGAAAAAAAAAAUCAGAUUUAAUGUCUGUUCCUGUGACCUACAAUCUAAUUCACUUUGGUUUCCCUCAGAUAAUUUUUACCUUGCAGGAUCCUUUAACCACUGAGAAAGUAAAGGUCACAUGUCAAGAUGGAUAAACAUGGCCUUGCCCCUUUUUGCAGAAACAUAGUAUAAAUUUACUGAGCACUCAUGAGUUCCAGGUGGUGCACUAAACAUUUUUCAUGCAACAACUUCUUCAUACAACGAAUCUCUGCAGUGGACGCUAUUAGUACUGCACUCGGUGAGUAGCUCUAUCCUGAAAUCCCAGGAGUGAUCUCAAUUACUGGCUGCAGCAGCAAUGUGCAGGCGCCAAGCACAGCUUCCCCAGCCUCCAUGGGAAAGCACUCAUGGAGGGUAGGCAGCCUGUGGCCCAAGAACUCAAGCAGCUGCCUAUUUACAGGAAUGGCAGUGAGGCCUCAACUGGGAAAAUGAAGUUGUCUUUUCUUUGGAGAGACUAGAUAGCCUUGUUCGGGCAAUCUCAAAAUAUAAAGGUCAAGACCUAGAUUUAUUCUAAAACCUAUCCUCAAGGCUUAGUCAGAAUUUCAGGAAAAUGUGGGUGAAGGGCAGGCACUGAAGCAGUAGAGUAAUGAAGGGAAUCAUAUAGUAGGAACAUUAGUGCUACAACCUGAGGGGGAUGUGGGUUCACAUCAGAAAUGUAAGCAGUGGGCCCGGCAUCAUGGCUCACGCCUAUAAUCUCAGCACUUUGGGAGGCCGAGGCAGGCGUAUCACCUGAGGUCAGGAGCUCAAGACCAGCCCAGCCAACAUGGUGAAACCCCGGCUCUACUAAAAAUACAAAAAUUAGCCAGGUGCAGUGGCAGGCGCCUGUAAUCCCAGCUAAUCAGGAGGCUGAGGUAGAAGAAUUGCUUGAACCCCGGAGGUGGAAGUUGCAGUGAGCCAAGAUCAUGCCAUUGCACUGCAGCCUGGGCAACAAGAGUGAAACUUCAUCUCAAAAAGAAAAAAAAGAAAAGUAAGCAAUGAACUGUAAGGGAGUGGAGAGACUGAGAUGAUGUCACUAGUUAUGCUUUGGGGUAUGAGGUCAGCAGGACAGGAAUGCUGUCAGUUUCUCUCAUUCUCUUAUUCAUCUUUUUUGAUCCUUAAGGGAGUUGCAGUGGCCCCAGGGAGUGUUGAGUUGAUCACUUCAACAAUGUUCCAGUAAGACUUGUAAAAACCCUAAGAGGUGAGUGAUGUUGUGUAAAACACAUACAGACACAUACGAUGGACCAGGAAAUAAGAGACCUUGGCUCUUGUUCUGAGUUUGCAGAGCCCUUCAGACAAGUCACUUCAUCAGUGUCCUCACAUGCAAGAUGAAACUAUAAUUUUGAAUAAUUUUCCAACAUGAAAAUGGAAUAAUCCUAUGAAAAACACUGUAAACAUUUCUAUGCUAUUUUGAACUAUCACACUUAAUUACUGAAACUAUUGUUAUUUAAAUUGAACAACUUAAAUCACAAAAUUAUUUGGUGAUGUUUAUCUGGAGAUAUGUACUACAUAUUAUAUAGAUAUAUAUAUACACACACACUACAUAUUACAGAUCUGUAUGUACUGUAUAGAAAUAUAUUUUCCCAUUUAGGAAAUAUAGAAAGAAGACUCUUUUUGGGGGUGUGCCAUUAGUGGCUUUAAAUAUUUUCUUCAUUUAUAUUUAUCCAAAUAAAUGUGGUAUUUUGUUUUGCUAUGAUGCUUUUAUUGGAAUUUGAGCAGUGAAAGCCAGCAUGUAGCCAGAAAAUGUAGGGGCAAUACUGUGUGACUGAACGCUGUUAACCAAGGUAAAAUCCGUUUGCUUAGCAGAAUGGCCUAUGUGGUCAGGGACGAGAAGAGAGGAAUGAGAUUUGAAUAAGCAAAGCUCCGGAGUUCUUGCUUGAAAUUGUUCCCUCUUCAAUGAAUUAAAGACUCCUCUAGACUGGAAGCUCUCCUUUGGGAAAGAGUCCUUUUUCUAAUCUGUCAAGAUCUUUUUUAAAAUUGGCUUUUGAUCCAUUUUUCUCCUCCUUCGGAGUUGACCAUUACUUGGAACCUAAAAAGACUUGUGGAUAUCCUGGGAGGAAAAGGUAGGGGAGCUUUUACUUCUGUAGCUUGAUGAAUUUCAAAGUUCCUGCAUAAAGAAGCAAAAAGAAACUUCAAGUAAGAGACUUUAUAUGGAACCUGAAGGCAAAAUGCAAAUUUGGUCUGAGGCAACUGAGCUUCCACCCUAAGAGGUGGAACUCUAAGAACCAGUUAACUUGAAUAGCUAGUGGAAGCAAAGAAGUGAAAUUAAGAGAGCAGGUUCCAAAAGAGAGCAGACUUUCAAUUCGAACUCAUGAAUAAGGCAUAAGGAGAACAGUGUCAAACCCUAGAAGAACACAACAUUUCCUUGAUCUUUUUUCCCCAUUGAAGUGCAUAAAAGAUUCUUUUCAAAAUAGUUUUGAGUAUUUUAAUAAAAAAAAAUUUGCAAAGAGAUUUUUGAAGAUAAAUUCUAGCAUUUUUCUCACAUAUCAGAAGUUGUUGCUUAAAACAGAAAAAGUUAAUUUUGCAUUGUUAGCUUUAACAUCAACAUUCACUCUUCAGAUUAUACGAUGUUUCCUUAAUAAAUUGUUCUUGAGUCUGUAUCACGUAAGAAAUAGGGAAGUAACAGUGAACAGAAGUGGAUAAAGUCCUGUUCUCAUAGGGCUUGGGUCUCUGAGAGGGAAUCAAGAGUCAACAAGGAAACACAGAAAUAUGCAAUAUUUGGUUUGCUUCUAAGUGCCAAGAAGAAAAAUAAAUCCUGGUAAAGGGAAAGAGAAGAAGGAAGGAAAAGUGGAAUGACGGUUUGUUGAGAUAAGUUGUUAAGGAAGUGAUGUUUCUUGUGGUAAAAUUCUCAGAUACCUAAAUCAGAUGAGUUACUUGACGGAAGAGUAUCAGGCAUGAGAACAAAUGCAAGUGUAAAUAUUAAGGAUAAUAAUUAUAGAAGUAUUAAUCAUUGAGAUAGCAGUAGCAGUAGAUACAUCAUUAAAUGCAUACUAUAUAUUCACCUAUUGUUCUGAGCAAUUUCUGAAUAUAUUUAUGCUAGUAUCAGGUUUUGUUUUUUUUUUGAUGCCCUUAAGGGUUUUGCUUUUUGUUCUUUGUGAGUAGAAGGGACUAUUUGAGAUUUACUUCUCUUUUUAUUACGUUUUAAAAAUGUGAUUGUAGAUUCAUGUAUAGACGUAAGGAAUAAUACAGAGAGGGUCUGUGCACUUCAUCUGGCUCUCCUAAUGGAAUCCAACGUCUUACAAAUCUAGAGUACAGUAAGAUAGUGGGGAUAUUGAUGUUAAUGCAAUCGUCAAUCUUAUUCAAACGUUGCCAGGUUUGCAUUUUCUCCAUUUGCAUGUGUGUUUAUUUUAUUCUAUGCAGUUUUAUCACAUUGUAGAUUCAUGUGACCAACACUGCAGUCAAAAUACCAACAGUUUUGUAGCUCUGAAGAUUCAUCAUACUACCUUUAGCUAUACCAUCUUCCUUUUCAUCUGGCUUUUGGUAGACCCUAUCACCUGGCAACCACUAAUAUGUUCUCCACCCCUAUAAUUUUCAGUGGUGUAAUAUGAAUGAAACCUGAUAGUAUAUAAUCAUUUAGGAUUGGCUUUUUUCACUCAGUAUAAUUCCCUAAGAUUAAUCCAAGUUGUUACAUCUAUUAAUACUUCAUUCCUUUUUUACUGUUGAGUAUUAUUCUAUAGUACAGACAUUCCACAACUUGUUUAACCAUUUACUUUCUUUUUUGAGACAGAGUCUGGCCCUUGUUGCCCUGGCUGGAGUGCAAUGGCGUGAUCUUGGCUCAUUGCAACCCCUGCCUCCUGGGUUUAAGUGGUUAAGUGGCCUCAGCCUCCCGAGUAGCUGAGAUUACAGGCAUGUACUACCACACCUGGCUAAUUUUUUGUGUUUUUAGUAGAGACGGUGUUUCUCCAUGUUAGUCAGGCUGUUCUUGAACUCCUGACCUCAGGUGAUCCACCCAUCUUGGCCUCCCAAAGUGCUGGGAUUACAAGCGUGAGCCACGGUGCCCGGUCUUAAGGGACAUUUGUACUGUUUCUACUUUUUGGCCAUUAAAAAUAAACCUGCUAUGGGCACUUAUGUGCAAGUUUUUAUGUAAACUUAAGUUUUCAUUUCUUUUCAAUAUAUGCCCAAGGGUAGAAUUGCUGGGCCAUGUGAUAAGUCAUGUUUAGUUUUGUAAAACACUGCCAACUGUUCUGCAGAGUAGUUGAAUCAUCUUAAUUCCCAACAGCAAUGUAUGAAGGAUUCAGUUUCUCUACAUUGUUGCCUGAGUUUGGUAAUUUCAUUAUUUUUUAAUUUUAGCUAUUCUAACAGGGAUUACUUUGUUUUUUACAAAUUAGUGUUCUGUUUGCCACACUCAUACAUUCAAAAGGAGGAUUUCAUCUUUAAGUAUGAAACUGUAGCUUAUGAUACUUAUUCUAUUAAUAUAUCUAGAAAAUUUUAGCAAUUUUCAAGAGCCAUUUA
This is a non-coding RNA of Callithrix jacchus (white-tufted-ear marmoset), 4800 nucleotides long. NCBI's taxonomy places the organism in Eukaryota, Metazoa, Chordata, Mammalia, Primates, Cebidae. The record is from RefSeq and is a predicted model, not a curated record.